UGAGUUUAGGUAGCGUGUGCUAAGGGAAUAGAUACUGUUUUCAAAGCUUGGGAAUGAUUUAUCAUUAAUGUGGCUUUUUCUUUUAAAAGGGCAGACAUUAUUUUUAUUUCUUUUAUUUUUUCUUUUUAAUUGCCAUAAUUUCUCAAAAGUCCAAAACCCUAAUUUCCCUUCCUCAUAUUCAAUUUUACCCAAAUUCCUUGCAAG
Molecule: long non-coding RNA, 204 nt
Filed under: Lathyrus oleraceus (garden pea)
Lineage: Eukaryota; Viridiplantae; Streptophyta; Magnoliopsida; Fabales; Fabaceae
Description: Pisum sativum (pea) long non-coding RNA (PSAT_LNC034874)
Source: RNAcentral